Molecule: ribosomal RNA, 459 nt
Filed under: uncultured bacterium
Lineage: Bacteria
Description: partial 16S ribosomal RNA
Rfam family: Bacterial small subunit ribosomal RNA
Source: RNAcentral
CCUACGGGUGGCAGCAGUGAGGAAUAUUGGUCAAUGGCCGGGAGGCUGAACCAGCCAAGUCGCGUGAGGGAAGACGGCCCUACGGGUUGUAAACCUCUUUUGUCAGGGAGCAAGGUGCGGGUCGGGACCUGCCGCGAGAGUAACCGAAGAAAAAGCCACGGCUAACUCCGGGCCAACAGCCGCGGUAAGACGGAGGAUGCGAGCGUUAACCGGAUUUAUUGGGUUUAAAGGGUGCGCAGGCGGAGGCAUAAGUCAGUGGUAAAAUCGAGGGGCUCAACCCCCCUCCGCCGUUGAAACUGUGUCCCUUGAGUGCGCGAAGGGUAGGCGGAAUGCGUGGUGUAGCGGUGAAAUGCAUAGAUAUCACGCAGAACUCCGAUCGCGAAGGCAGCCUACCGGCGCGCAACUGACGCUCAUGCACGAAAGCGUGGGUAUCGAACAGGAUUAGAUACCCGAGUAGUC